RNAcentral lists this long non-coding RNA (1185 nucleotides) under Cricetulus griseus (Chinese hamster). Its description in RNAcentral is "lncRNA (ENSCGRG00015037366.1)". Lineage: Eukaryota; Metazoa; Chordata; Mammalia; Rodentia; Cricetidae. The record is from RNAcentral.
GUUAAAUUACAAUAAAGCCUCGUGCAGUUUGCAGCAAGCUCUCGAAUCCGCCUGGUGAUUGGGGUGACCGCGAACCUGGCCUGAGACCCCGGAUACUUGAGUUUUCGGGGGUCUAACAUUUUGGGGGCUCGUCCGCGAUUUGCGACCACCCUUCACCUGAGUGGAUUCGAUCUUGGAGGUAAGAUGAUUGGAGCUCGAAACUUAUAUAUGUUCAAUGUUCUAUGUUUCUUGUUUUGUCUCUUGCUGUGUUGUUGGUUUGAAUUUGUAAUUUGUAUUUGAUCUGCGCAGAAUUUGUAAUUGAACCAUAGGGUAAGCAGACUUGCGAGAACCUUGGUUCCACCCUGGAUGAAAGUCCAAGGUUUGGUUGUAAUUUUGGUUUGGGGCACCAUUUCUUUGCCGCGGUUUGUCCUGUCUAAUGUUUGUGCUGUCUAAUGUGCUGUCAUUUGUGUUAUAUGUUUCUUAAGCAUCUCUUUCUGUCCCUGCUCUCCCUAUGCACGUGGCAUGCAUGGGUCAGGGGGUCAGGGGUCUUUUCUUGAUUCUCUGAGCACGUGGCGCCACCUCAACUGUGAUCGGCAGAUGCGCCCUGUGGACAGACUGCCACUCUGAGGACACCCAGGACCCAGGAGGUAUGGACUCGGGCCAAGGACACUUGGACCCGCCUCAGUUAGCCGCCGAGUUCUGCCGCCGUCUUCCCGGCGCCAUUGCCUUAUGAGCAGCGUGGGCGGAUUGGGUUGGCGUCUGUUCUUUCCUGUCUAUUCUGUGUUAUCAUCAUUGGUUUUCAAUUCAGGAUCCACCACGCCACCCCCUUUCUAUCCCCACCUGCGGGUCUGAGGCAUGCCCAGUAGGACUGUUUCUGCCCCAGCUGCCGUUAUGGCUGUUUCCCUGCUCUGGGGGAAUAUGGCUACAAGGCCGCCAUCUGCUACCCGUCUUUCUGUGCUCCACACACAUGGUAUGCAGGGGGGCCGCAGGAGUCUUUUUCCCACCCCUGGAUUGGCCAAGGGUCUGGGGUUACCAGCAGCACCCCCACCCCAGGUCUCUCUGCCUUGAGCACAUGGAGCUAGCUCAGGCAGGUGAACCAUCUGUCCUGAUCCGGAUAUUCUAAAAACAAUAACAACAAAAAAGGGCCUUAAAGUUAUUAAAAAUUGUAAAAGGGACUUUGACAAAAUUUUUAUAUUGACUAAAAAA